This is a transfer RNA of 77 nucleotides. It matches the Rfam family "tRNA". From Rfam's summary of the family: Transfer RNA (tRNA) molecules are approximately 80 nucleotides in length.
GGCUCCGUAGUUCAACUGGAUAGAAUAUCAGAUUUCGGCUCUGAGGGUUGGGGGUUCGAAUCCCUCCGGGGUCACUA